UACGUAGGGAGCGAGCGUUGUCCGGAUUUACUGGGUGUAAAGGGUGCGUAGGCGGCAAUGCAAGUCAGGCGUGAAAGCUCGGGGCUUAACCCCGAAACUGCGCUUGGAACUGUGUUGCUUGAGUGAAGUAGAGGUAGGCGGAAUUCCCGGUGUAGCGGUGAAAUGCGUAGAGAUCGGGAGGAACACCAGUGGCGAAGGCGGCCUACUGGGCUUUAACUGACGCUGAGGCACGAAAGCAUGGGUAGCAAACAGG
This 253-nucleotide ribosomal RNA is filed under the name uncultured bacterium. RNAcentral's name for it is "partial 16S ribosomal RNA". It matches the Rfam family "Bacterial small subunit ribosomal RNA", at positions 524 to 776 of the family's 1533-position model. The record is from RNAcentral.